GUACCGGGGCUAAACAUAUUACCGAAGCUGUGGAUUGUCCUUUGGACAAUGGUAGGAGAGCGUUCUAAGGGCGUUGAAGCAUGAUCGCAAGGACAUGUGGAGCGCUUAGAAGUGAGAAUGCCGGUGUGAGUAGCGAAAGACGGGUGAGAAUCCCGUCCACCGAUUGACUAAGGUUUCCAGAGGAAGGCCCAUCCGCUCUGGGUUAGUCGGGUCCUAAGCUGAGGCCGACAGGCGUAGGCGAUGGAUAACAGGUUGAUAUUCU
This 262-nucleotide non-coding RNA is filed under the name Rhodanobacter spathiphylli B39. RNAcentral describes it as "Bacterial large subunit ribosomal RNA". It matches the Rfam family "Bacterial large subunit ribosomal RNA", at positions 1172 to 1439 of the family's 2925-position model. Lineage: Bacteria; Pseudomonadati; Pseudomonadota; Gammaproteobacteria; Lysobacterales; Rhodanobacteraceae. The record is from Rfam by way of RNAcentral.